CAGCAACGAUCGCCCAUCCCCAGCCUCCAUCCAGGACUUUGGUGGACGAAGUCAUGGUGCUGAUGUUACUGGGGGCCGAUGGGAUCUGUUACAGCUUUUACUGAGGAGAAGUUCCUGAAAAAAAGAAGAAAAAAAUAUACAUAUCCUCGAUGUAAGGAGGGCUGCUGCAACACCUGGCCUGGACAGUUGGUCACCUGUGUGAGGUCCUCGGCUCGAUGUGACUGCAGCCUCCCCACAGCCAGCUGCUCUAUUUGUUGCUUUCUGUCUAACCACACCUUACAGGAGGAGGAGAAUGCGGCUGAUCUCCUCUCUCUGCCUCUGUGAUCUGACUUUUCCAUGAUUCACCUCUGAUAGGGGGUCUUUGAUCAGUUGCAGUACUUUCUCUAAAUUAUUUGGAGCCCAUCGCAUCUUUGCACUCCACUGCAGCAUAAUGAAUCCCUCCCCAUAUUAUCUGUUAUUUACGUUUAAACUAUAAAAGUAAAAGUUGAUACAAUAUGUUCUUUUGGCUAUAGAUUCAUCCGCAAUGAAAAUAAAAAUAGUUGGUUUGGGUUUGUUUAAAGAAUGUACAUUUUUCUUCCCACUGAAACCUAAUGAAAAUCAAGAUGCCAUAAUAACUCGAUAUUCGCCGAAAGCACUAACAUUCUUUUUCAAUUUUGUUGAUGUCUUUUUUUUUGCUAAAUAACAUUAAGGAGGGAAACAAAGCGGGUAUAACGUAAUUGUAAACAAACGUCGCACUCACCUCAGCAUCUACAGCAGCAGACAGCGCCUGCGGAGCUGCGCGCUCCACGGGAACUUUUCAUGUACAAAAUAGAUAAAUGAAUUAAUAAAUCUCU
Long non-coding RNA from Xiphophorus hellerii (green swordtail), 833 nucleotides. RefSeq lists it as uncharacterized. NCBI's taxonomy places the organism in Eukaryota, Metazoa, Chordata, Actinopteri, Cyprinodontiformes, Poeciliidae. The record is from RefSeq and is a predicted model, not a curated record. The transcript has 2 exons.